RNAcentral lists this ribosomal RNA (220 nucleotides) under uncultured Rubrobacteria bacterium. RNAcentral's name for it is "partial 16S ribosomal RNA". It matches the Rfam family "Bacterial small subunit ribosomal RNA", at positions 1168 to 1382 of the family's 1533-position model. Lineage: Bacteria; Bacillati; Actinomycetota; Rubrobacteria. The record is from RNAcentral.
GGAAGUGGGAUGACGUCAAGUCAUCCCUAAUCCCGCCUUAGUGCCUUGGGCUACACACGUGCUACAAUGGCCGGUACAACGGGCUGCGAUACCGCGAGGUGGAGCGAAUCCCUAAAAACCGGUCUCAGUUCGGAUUGGAGUCUGCAACUCGACUCCAUGAAGGCGGAAUUGCUAGUAAUCGCGAAUCAGCAACGUCGCGGUGAAUACGUUCCCGGGCCUU